This 423-nucleotide ribosomal RNA is filed under the name uncultured bacterium. Its description in RNAcentral is "partial 16S ribosomal RNA". It matches the Rfam family "Bacterial small subunit ribosomal RNA", at positions 360 to 775 of the family's 1533-position model. The record is from RNAcentral.
AAUUUUGGACAAUGGGGGCAACCCUGAUCCAGCCAUCCCGCGUGUGCGAUGAAGGCCUUCGGGUUGUAAAGCACUUUUGGCAGGGAAGAAAAGGCGCUGGUUAAUACCUUGCGCCGCUGACGGUACCUGCAGACUAAGCACCGGCUAACUACGUGACAGCCGCCGCGGUAAUACGUAGGGUGCAAGCGUUAAUCGGAAUUACUGGGCGUAAAGCGUGCGCAGGCGGUUCGGAAAGAAGGAUGUGAAAUCCCGGGGCUUAACCUCGGAACUGCAUUCUUAACUGCCGGGCUAGAGUAUGUCAGAGGGGGGUAGAAUUCCGCGUGUAGCAGUGAAAUGCGUAGAUAUGCGGAGGAACACCGAUGGCGAAGGCAGCCUCCUGGGAUAACACCGACGCUCAUGCACGAAAGCGUGGGGAGCAAACAG